UGAAGGCAAGUAGCAGACGGGUGAGUAAUGCUUGGAAAUCUACUCAGAAGACAUGAAUAACUAUCAGAAAUGAUAGCUAAUACAAGAUAAUACCCUGAGGGGGAAAGGUUUAU
RNAcentral lists this ribosomal RNA (113 nucleotides) under Candidatus Xenohaliotis sp. LC110322. Its description in RNAcentral is "partial 16S ribosomal RNA". The record is from RNAcentral. Lineage: Bacteria; Pseudomonadati; Pseudomonadota; Alphaproteobacteria; Rickettsiales; Anaplasmataceae.